This 492-nucleotide ribosomal RNA is filed under the name uncultured bacterium. RNAcentral's name for it is "partial 16S ribosomal RNA". It matches the Rfam family "Bacterial small subunit ribosomal RNA", at positions 29 to 507 of the family's 1533-position model. The record is from RNAcentral.
AGUGAACGCUGGCGGUAGGCCUAACACAUGCAAGUCGAACUGCAGUACAGUAUGAGCUUCCUCUUACGGGUUGCGACUUGCGGACGUUUCAUGACUACUUCGGACUCUAUUUUUUCGUGGGUGCUAACGUAUGGUAACUUACGCUUAUACCGCAUACGACCUAUGAGUGCUAGCUGGGGAUUUUCAGACCUUUCGCUAUUGUUUGCUCCUAUGUCGGAUUAGCUGUUUGGCGGGGUAAAGUCCCACCCAGGCGACGAUACGUAGCUGGUCUGAGAGGAUGAUCAGCCACACUGGAACUGAGAUACGGCACAGACUCAUACGGGAGGCAGCAGUAGGGAAUAUUGGAGCAUGGGCGGAAGACAGAGCAAGACAUACCGCGUGGGUGAAGAAGGCAUUCUGGUUGUAAAGCCCAUCUGUUGGGAAAGAAAAGCAGCAGGUUAAGACACCGCUGUAAUGACGGUACCAAAAGAAUAAGCAACGGCUAAAUUCGUG